This 330-nucleotide unclassified non-coding RNA is filed under the name soil metagenome. RNAcentral describes it as "partial contains 5.8S ribosomal RNA, internal transcribed spacer 2, and large subunit ribosomal RNA". The stretch from base 1 to 120 matches the Rfam family "5.8S ribosomal RNA", at positions 35 to 154 of the family's 154-position model. The record is from RNAcentral.
GAUGAAGAACGCAGCGAAAUGCGAUACGUAAUGUGAAUUGCAGAUUUCAGUGAAUCAUCGAAUCUUUGAACGCACAUUGCGCCCGCCAGUAUUCUGGCGGGCAUGCCUGUUCGAGCGUCAUCUCAACCAUCAAGCGCCUCGCUUGUGUUGGGGCCCUGCGGCUGCCGCAGGCCCCUAAAUCCAGUGGCGGGCUCGUCGUCGUACCGAGUGCAGUAAACAUCCUCGCUCAGGGAACCCGACGGGUGCCGGCCGUGAAACCCCCCCUCCUCAAGGUUGACCUCGGAUCAGGUAGGAAUACCCGCUGAACUUAAGCAUAUCAAAAGCGGAGGA